UCAGACAGAUCCCUCUUUAACUGGAGAUGAUCAUUCGUAUCCCAUUCUAUCCUAGACAAGUUUGGCAUGUAGAGGUUUUGCAGCCGGAAUAAACAAAAGGUUGUCGAAGUCUUUUGAACAUCUUUAAAAAUUUACUGAAUGCUGGAGCGUUCAGCCAUUGAAGGGAAACUGUUUUAAAGACAAGCAUCGCAAGAGCAAAUGGAGCAAAGCUACGGGGAGGUGAACCAGCUGGGGGGAGUUUUUGUCAAUGGACGUCCUUUGCCCAAUGCAAUACGAUUACGAAUAGUGGAGUUAGCCCAGCUUGGCAUCCGACCCUGUGACAUUAGCAGACAGCUUCGGGUCUCCCAUGGCUGUGUGAGUAAAAUCCUUACGAGAUACAACGAAACUGGGUCCAUUUUGCCGGGCGCAAUCGGUGGCAGCAAACCACGAGUUACGACACCAAAUGUAGUAAAAAACAUAAGGGAGUACAAACAAGGAGACCCGGGAAUUUUUGCAUGGGAGAUCCGGGACCGUCUUCUCGCGGACGGAGUAUGUGACAAGUACAACGUUCCUUCGGUCAGCUCUAUCAGCAGGAUAUUAAGGAACAAGAUUGGAAACUUCUCCCAGCCUAACCAAUAUGAAAAUGGCAAGCAAGCACCUCCGCAGUCCAGCCUCUCGUACUACCCGUAUUCAUACCCCACUGCAAUGUCUCCCUCCGGGACCAAAAUGAGCAAUCCUCCCGGUGUCCCUGUCACGGGUGGGCAUGUAAGCAUUUCCCGCGGUUGGCCUUCAGCGCACACGGUCAGCAAUAUACUGGGUAUUCGGGCUUUCAUGGAUCCUGCAGCUUUUGCUAGCGCUGAAGGAUACGCACCAAAAAUGGAGGACUGGGGUAGUGUGAAUAGAGCGACAUUUACCUCUGCUCAUGGACUCAAUGGAAUAGACAAAUCAGCUACUGAUGCAGACAUAAAAUACCCUCAGUCUUCUUCGACUUUGUCUAGUUAUGUCCAAGCAUGCGCGUACUCUCCCUCCAACCAGUAUGGCGUGUACAGUGGUCCAGCAGGCAGUUAUGUGAGCCCAGGGCAUCACUGGCAGGCCCAGGGCACCAGCCUCUCCCACCCUGGCGGUGGCGUAGCGAUGCACCCGAGUGACAUACAUUCUUCUAUGGGGUUCAAACAUGCUGUGCAAGAUGAAGACAGAAAACCACCGAGUACCCUAAGCAAGCACCAGCACGAAGCCUUGAGCAAUAUACACGGACUCAGCCUUUCUACCUCGUCCUCGUAACAACACAGAUACAUCAGUUUAGAAAUUAUCGCAUUUCAAGAACGCAAACCUGGGGAGGUAGUGUCUGAAUUAAGUGAAGUAUGCGAAAAGGUUUCCAACGGGACCAGACAAGCAGCCAUGAAACACUACGUACACAAUGGAGCUUGGAAUGAACACUGCCACCAUCCUGUCUGCAACAGACAACAACAAAGGAUGGGACAUAUUAAUCAUUUUUUGACAGCAUGCCACUCCUAUAAACCUUUACCUGAUUUCCCCAGAAAUCUUGAGCAUCACUUUCUCUCAUACAUAUCUCGAUUAACUACAGCUUGGUGUCCAUGCAGUGCUCCAAGAAAAAAAAAAAAAAAAAAAAAAAAGGAAAAGAAAGAAAAGUAAUAGUGAAAGGAUUGUACUUAAUAUGGACUAUCCUAUGAUCUCUGUGUAAAAAUUAGAAAAUGAAUAUGUAGAUAUUUAUAGAAAAAGUUUGGUGAAUGUUUUUGUACAGGCAAUAAAGUUACAUCAUUUCAUAACUGUGGUUUUUAGUGUAGUGGUUUUAAUGUGGUUUUUAGUGGUUUUUGGGUAGC
RNA transcript from Carassius carassius (crucian carp), 1820 nucleotides. It is a transcript of the gene named paired box protein Pax-1-like, with no coding region annotated. NCBI's taxonomy places the organism in Eukaryota, Metazoa, Chordata, Actinopteri, Cypriniformes, Cyprinidae. The record is from RefSeq and is a predicted model, not a curated record. The transcript has 6 exons.